GGCAACAGCUCAAAUUUGAAAUCUGGCCCUUUCAGGGUCCGAGUUGUAAUUUGUAGAGGGUGCUUCGGCGUCGGCCGUGGUCUAAGUUCCUUGGAACAGGACGUCACAGAGGGUGAGAAUCCCGUACGUGGCCGCCGGCCUUCGCCAUGUGAAGCCCCUUCGACGAGUCGAGUUGUUUGGGAAUGCAGCUCUAAAUGGGAGAUAAAUUUCUUCUAAAGCUAAAUAUUGGCCAGAGACCGAUAGCGCACAAGUAGAGUGAUCGAAAGAUGAAAAGCACUUUGGAAAGAGAGUCAAAAAGCACGUGAAAUUGUUGAAAGGGAAGCGCUUGCAGCCAGACGUGCCCGCAGUUGCUCACCCGGGCUCUCGCCCGGGGCACUCUUCUGCGGGCAGGCCAGCAUCAGUUCGGGCGGUCGGAUAAAGGCCUCUGUCACGUACCACCCUCCGGGGUGGCCUUAUAGGGGAGGCGCAACACGGCCAGCCUGAACUGAGGACCGCGCAUCAGCUAGGAUGCUGGCGUAAUGGCUGUAAGCGGCCCGUCUUGAAAACACGG
Molecule: ribosomal RNA, 550 nt
Filed under: Parathyridaria percutanea
Lineage: Eukaryota; Fungi; Ascomycota; Dothideomycetes; Pleosporales; Thyridariaceae
Description: LSU rRNA
Rfam family: Eukaryotic large subunit ribosomal RNA
Source: RNAcentral